This 494-nucleotide ribosomal RNA is filed under the name uncultured bacterium. RNAcentral describes it as "bacterial SSU rRNA". It matches the Rfam family "Bacterial small subunit ribosomal RNA", at positions 18 to 518 of the family's 1533-position model. The record is from RNAcentral.
CCUGGCUCAGGAUGAACGCUGGCGGCGUGCUUAACACAUGCAAGUCGAACGGAGCUUAGAAGGAAGCUUGCUUUCAUUUAAGCUUAGUGGCGGACGGGUGAGUAACGCGUGAGUAACCUGCCCUUGAGAGGGGAAUAACAUCGAGAAAUCGGUGCUAAUACCGCAUAAUGUCGGAGUACCGCAUGACAUUCCGACCAAAGAUUUUAUCGCUCAAGGAUGGACUCGCGUCCGAUUAGCUGGUUGGUGAGGUAACGGCCCACCAAGGCUUCGAUCGGUAGCCGAACUGAGAGGUUGAUCGGCCACAUUGGGACUGAGACACGGCCCAGACUCCUACGGGAGGCAGCAGUGGGGAAUAUUGGGCAAUGGGCGCAAAGCCUGACCCAGCAACGCCGCGUGAAGGAUGAAGGUCUUCGGAUUGUAAACUUCUUUGAUUGGGGAAGAAUAAAUGACCUACCCAAAGAACAAGCCACGGCUAACUACGUGCCAGCCGCCGC